UACGGAGGAUGCAAGCGUUAUCCGGAUUCAUUGGGUUUAAAGGGUGCGUAGGCGGUCUUAUAAGUCAGUGGUGAAAUACUGCAGCUCAACUGUAGAACUGCCAUUGAAACUGUGAGACUUGAGUGCGCCUGAGGUAGGCGGAAUGAGUAGUGUAGCGGUGAAAUGCUUAGAUAUUACUCAGAACACCGAUUGCGAAGGCAGCUUACUAAAGCGUAACUGACGCUGAUGCACGAAAGCGUGGGGAGCGAAC
This 250-nucleotide ribosomal RNA is filed under the name uncultured bacterium. RNAcentral's name for it is "partial 16S ribosomal RNA". It matches the Rfam family "Bacterial small subunit ribosomal RNA", at positions 524 to 773 of the family's 1533-position model. The record is from RNAcentral.